GAUGAACGCUGGCGGCGUGCCUAAUACAUGCAAGUCGAGCGAACGGACGAGAAGCUUGCUUCUCUGAUGUUAGCGGCGGAAGUGUGAGUAAAACGUGGAUACCCUACCUAUAAGACUGGGAUAACUUCGUGAAACCGGAGCUAAUACCGGAUUAUAUUUUGAACCGCAUGGUUCAAAAGUUAAAGACGUUCUUGCUGUCCCUUCUAGCUGUCUCCGCGCUGCAUUAGCUAGUUGGUAAGGUAACGGCUUACCAAGGCAACGAUGGAUAGCCGACCUGAGAGGGGGAACGGCGACACUGGAAGUGAGACACGGUACAGACUCCGAGGGGAGGCAGCAAUAGGGAAGCUACGGAGAAGGGGGAAAGACUGAAGGAGCAACGCAGCGUGAGUGAUGCAGGGCUGCGGAUCGGAAAACUCUGUUAUGAGGGAAGACCACAUGCGGAAGUAACGGUGCACAUCGUGACGGUACCUAAUCAGAAAGCAACGGCUAACUACGUG
This 497-nucleotide ribosomal RNA is filed under the name uncultured bacterium. RNAcentral's name for it is "partial 16S ribosomal RNA". It matches the Rfam family "Bacterial small subunit ribosomal RNA", at positions 28 to 507 of the family's 1533-position model. The record is from RNAcentral.